RNAcentral lists this ribosomal RNA (1294 nucleotides) under Acanthosepion aculeatum. Its description in RNAcentral is "16S ribosomal RNA". The stretch from base 614 to 1294 matches the Rfam family "Archaeal large subunit ribosomal RNA", at positions 1423 to 2788 of the family's 2987-position model. Lineage: Eukaryota; Metazoa; Mollusca; Cephalopoda; Sepiida; Sepiidae. The record is from RNAcentral.
AAAAUAUAAAUAAUAUUGUUUUAGUUAAUUAAAAUUGUUUUGAAAUAAAUUGUUAUAAUUAUAAAGUAUUAAUAGUAAAGAAAUAUUGAUUAAUUAGGUACUGUGAGGGAUUAAAGUGUAAUAUUAUUUAAUAGUAGAGUUAUGUGUUCGUACCUUUUGUAUAAUGGGUUGAUGAUAGGUUUUACUAUAUAGGAAAGUCUCGAAUGUAAAAAGAUUUACUUAAUAAAUUAAUGUUAACGUAGUAAAGUUAUAUUUUUAUUAUUAGGUGGUAAUGAAAUGUUUUUCGUUUUUUAUGAUAGCUAGUUUAUAAGUGUAGUAUAUUUUAGUAUUGUAGUAUUAAUAUUGAUGUGUAGAUUAGUUUAAUACUGUCUAUUUUAUAAGGGAUAAGCUUUAUAAAAUUAAUAGAAUUAUGUUGUAUAUAUAUUUUAUGUUUUUAAGUAGGAUUAAAAUUGUUUUUCUUAUAAAUAUUAAUAUAAAUUAUUAUUUUAUAAUUAUUCAUGCAGUAUCUUAUAAAUGUUUAGUAAUUAUUUAUAAAUAAAUAUAAUGUUAAUAUGAGUAUUUGAAAAUGAUUAAAUAUUAUAGUUUAUUUAAAUUGUAUAUAUUUAAAAUUAUUGUUUUUAGUGAAGUAAAAUAAAGGAAUUCGGCAAAUAUAAAUCUCGCCUGUUUAUCAAAAACAUGUCUCUUUGUGUUUAUUAAAUAAAGAGUUGAGCCUGCUCAGUGAUAUAAAUUUAACAGCUGCGGUAUUUUAACUGUACUAAGGUAGCAUAAUAAUUUGCCUUAUAAAUUGAGGCUAGAAUGAAUGGUUUGACGAAGGUUUACCUGUCUCUAUUUUAUUUAUUAGAAGUUAAUUUUUUAGUGAGAAAGCUAAAAUAUUUUUAAGGGACGAGAAGACCCUAUUGAGCUUGAAUUUAAUUGUAUUAUUUUAUAAUAUUUUAAUAAAUUUUAAUUGGGGUGAUUAAGGAAUAAAAAAUUUUAUAUAUUGUAUAGUAACUUCCUUAAUAUGAUUGUACUGUUAGGUUAAGUAACCAAUAAUAUUGCUUAUAAUAGAGUUACCAUAGGGAUAACAGCGUAAUUUAUUUAGAGAGUUCUUAUUAAAAAAUGAGAUUGCGACCUCGAUGUUGGAUUAAAGUAACCUUAAGGUGCAGAAGCUUUAUAUGGUAAAUCUGUUCGAUUUUUAAAACUUUACAUGAUCUGAGUUCAGACCGGUGUGAGCCAGGUUGGUUUCUAUCUUUUAAAAUAUGAAGAUUUUUUUUUUAGUACGAAAGGACCAAAAAAAUUAAUUUAAUUAUUUGAU